UACAGAGGUCUCAAGCGUUGUUCGGAUUCAUUGGGCGUAAAGGGUGCGUAGGUGGCGCUGUAAGUCGGGUGUGAAAUUUCGGAGCUUAACUCCGAAACUGCAUUCGAUACUGCGGUGCUUGAGGACUGGAGAGGAGACUGGAAUUCAUGGUGUAGCAGUGGAAUGCGUAGAGAUCAUGAGGAAGACCAGUGGCGAAGGCGGGUCUCUGGACAGUUCCUGACACUGAGGCACGAAGGCCAGGGGAGCAAACGGG
This 253-nucleotide ribosomal RNA is filed under the name uncultured bacterium. Its description in RNAcentral is "partial 16S ribosomal RNA". It matches the Rfam family "Bacterial small subunit ribosomal RNA", at positions 524 to 776 of the family's 1533-position model. The record is from RNAcentral.